RNAcentral lists this ribosomal RNA (735 nucleotides) under uncultured prokaryote. RNAcentral describes it as "bacterial SSU rRNA". It matches the Rfam family "Archaeal small subunit ribosomal RNA", at positions 28 to 770 of the family's 1478-position model. The record is from RNAcentral.
UGCUAUCGGAUGAUACUAAGCCAUGCGAGUCUUUGUAGUAAUACAAGGCAGACGGCUCAGUAACACGUAGUCAACCUACCCUAUGGACAAGAAUAAUCUCGGGAAACUGGGCAUAAUUCUUGAUAGAUCAUAAUGCCUGGAAUGGUUUAUGGUUAAAAUGAUUCGUCGCCAUAGGAUGGGACUGCGGCCUAUCAGCUUGUUGGUGAGGUAAUGGCCCACCAAGGCGAUUACAGGUACGGGCUCUGAGAGGAGAAGCCCGGAGAUGGGUACUGAGACACGGACCCAGGCCCUAUGGGGCGCAGCAGGCGAGAAAACUUUGCAAUGUGCGAAAGCACGACAAGGUUAAUCCGAGUGAUUUCUGCUAAAGAAAUCUUUUGCCAGUCAUAAAACCACUGGUGAAUAAGGGGUGGGCAAGUUCUGGUGUCAGCCGCCGCGGUAAAACCAGCACCUCAAGUGGUCAGGAUGAUUAUUGGGCCUAAAGCAUCCGUAGCCGGCUUUGUUAGUUUUCGGUUAAAUCCAUGUGCUCAACGCAUGGGCUGCCGAAAAUACUGCAUGGCUAGGGAGUGGGAGAGGUAGACGGUACUCGGUAGGAAGGGGUAAAAUCCUUUGAUCUAUUGAUGACCACCUGUGGCGAAGGCGGUCUACCAGAACACGUUCGACGGUGAGGGAUGAAAGCUGGGGGAGCAAACCGGAUUAGAUACCCGGGUAGUCCCAGCUGUAAACGAUGCAGACUCG